AUGCGCUCUGCAGCCGGACUCGUAUUUCACUCUCUCGACUUUGGCUUCGCCCUCGUGUGGAGGCAGAUGCAAACUCUUUCCUGGGGAACUCUGGAGAAGAGUUAGCACUGGAGCUCCCUUCAUAUGUCGCAUGGCGGUUGACAUAGGUUUUUCUUUCAAAUGUUGAGCCAGGUGAUUUGGUGAGAGUUGAGCUAGGAGACUGUGUUUGUCUGUAGCCAGACGAUGACGAAUUCAAUCUACCACUUCCACUUGAAGUCACAUAGCCACUGCUAUGGGUGUAAGACCUCUUUUCAACUCCACUUCCUCCAGUGUGGGACGAUGUCUUGAGUCCACUACUGCUCCCUCCUUUGGGUGGUAAAGAUGUCAGUCUUGUUGUUACUGUCUCUGUAAUAAGCCUCUCUGUAACUUCUGAUCCAUCUUGCCUCGUUUUCUUUGUUACAGAAUCCAUAUCAUUUCCACGUUGUUCCCUUUUAUUAGCUCUGUACCUCAC
RNAcentral lists this long non-coding RNA (490 nucleotides) under Gallus gallus (chicken). Lineage: Eukaryota; Metazoa; Chordata; Aves; Galliformes; Phasianidae. The record is from RNAcentral.